This is a non-coding RNA of Schizosaccharomyces pombe (fission yeast), 940 nucleotides long. The record is from the annotation of a GenBank genome assembly. Lineage: Eukaryota; Fungi; Ascomycota; Schizosaccharomycetes; Schizosaccharomycetales; Schizosaccharomycetaceae.
GAAGUUAGCAGAACCAAUUUCUAUGCCACGUUUAGUAAAUCGUAUGCGAUCUCCAGCGCAUCUGCGUAAACAAUUUCAGCACACUUUCUAUAUUGCACACUACGUUAGCAAACGAAACUCUGGCCGAAACACAAUUACUGAAAUAUAGCGCUUCUCCUUAUUUUUGCAUUGUUCGAAGUAAAUAAAGUAAUCUCAGUAUGUCUAAUUACUGAACUAUAGCGAAAAUAAUGUUAUUAAAUGCUUUACAGAAAACAACGCGAUCCCCUUAUAUGCAGUUACCGAUUGUUUGCACUACCCAAAACAGGAAGCAGUAAUUUCAGCAGAGGUCCCAAUUGCAAACAAGAAUUGUGUAAUCCGAGACGGCUUUGAGGCAACCGGGAAUGCAUGCUCCAUGUGAUUUUUGCUUAAAGAAAACAACACGGCAAGUCCUUGGCCCACACCCCUGGCCUUCCCCUCCCGAUGAAGUGAUUUUCGUUUUCGAGACGAUGGUGUUCAAGGCCCAAAAUCGUACAUUGCAAGCUCUUUCGCUGAAAACGAUGCAAAUGCACUGGUUCAAAUUUCUUUCCCACCUAAAUCAUCUCGUGGAAACGCUGAGUGCUUUAAAGUUUUCUUGUUUACAUUGCAAUUUCGCAACACUGACAUUUUCCUCUUCUAUACGCAAUCAAUGUCAAAUUUGCUACAUUUUUUUUAAAUGUCACUAAUGUCAUACUCGGCUUGAGCGGCGUCCUGAGACUUGCAAUCCACACGUCUGUAUCGAAACAAUAUUGGUAACGUGCAAUCCCUGAACCCUCUUUACUUUACAUCGGGCCACAUUCCGUCUGAGCUGAGGAAUGUCAUGUUUGCGUGCUUUACUCCCUUUCAGUCAAAAUUGUGACUCAAAAGAAACAGUCACAAAAUUGGUCUGAGGAGUCGCCAUACAUAUAUAUACAGGGUACCCAUA